AUGCCCUUUCUUACAUAUCAUUUCUUUUUUUCUCCCACAAAUAACGUUCUCUCCCUCAGAUGUUCGCGGGCACCCAGAAUCCGGUGGGCUCACGACGGCCGGCGUGGCGGAGCUCCACUGGAACUCACAAAGGCGCACCACCAAACGCGUCAUACCACCCUCAACUCGAAUUUGGUCAUAAUUCUCACAAAAAAUACGCCUACAAAGCAAGAUCUAAAGAGGAGAAAUCUAACCCUAACUUCUUUAAAUCAACUUACAACUUCAGAACAACAGCAGAUCAACAAAUCAAAAGCAAAAACAUAA
Non-coding RNA from Vicia faba (fava bean), 303 nucleotides. Lineage: Eukaryota; Viridiplantae; Streptophyta; Magnoliopsida; Fabales; Fabaceae. The record is from the annotation of a GenBank genome assembly.